Molecule: long non-coding RNA, 1395 nt
Organism: Panicum hallii
Lineage: Eukaryota; Viridiplantae; Streptophyta; Magnoliopsida; Poales; Poaceae
Exons: 2
Source: RefSeq, a predicted model, not a curated record
ACUGACACACGGGGCAGGUAGGCUGACACCACGGUAAGCCCGCCUGUUUCCAAGGCGGCGCGUCGUGUCACCGAAUACUGUGCGCCAGCGGCGUACAGUCCCGUUACAGCGCUGCGCGCGGCGCCAGGUGAUGGCCUCUAAGAGGAGAGCCGAGGCGUGCGCUGCCACAGUGCACUCGGACGCAACGGCGCAGCGGGUUAGCGCUGCUCCUUCGCCUGACAGGUUCUCACUCAACAGUGGUAGCACGGCUUCACUGUUGAGUGAGACUGACAGCGGUCACUGUGCCUGCAAGGCAGCACACGACCGUAUCCAAGCUGUGGAUACGCACGUUAUCUUCCCAACCGUGAAGACUACAGCGAGGAGCUGGAGAGGGAGAUCUCCAUAUCACAUAGAGCGGGCUCCUCUUGGCCGGACCCCCACCUGUCGGGGCCCCGCACAGCGAGGAGCUGGAGAGUGCACUCGUUAGAAGACAAGUUCACGUCAAACUCACAUAGCCAAUACAACACUAAAGUGGACGUAGAGUAUUACUCUCCGGCGGCCGGAACCACUCUAAAUUCCCCGCGUCUUUCCUGCGUUCAUCCACGCAUCGAUCGAGCGCUCCUAAGUCUCCUCCAAACCCAUCCUUAACUAGGAUUAGGCGGGUGCAUUCCGCCACCUGGCUGGAGAUUUCCUCCGACAGUAUUUCACAAUCUCUCUUUAGUAUUUUGAAACGACCUGCAUGUCUAUAUGAUCAAAGGGAUCUUGAGAAUAUCAUACUAGCUUGUAUCAUUCUUCACAACAUGGUAAUUGAAACGUCUAUAUGAUCAAAGGGAUCUUGAGAAUAUCAUACUAGCUUGUAUCAUUCUUCACAACAUGGUAAUUGAAAAUGAGAAAGGUUUGAAGUCAAUUCCUCUUGAUUUGAAUGAGACACCAAGCACAUCAACUGUGCAAGAAGCAACAAUCUCUCAAGGACCUAACCCAGAAAUGGAAGAAGUGAUACAAAGAAAUGCUACUAUUCGUGAUCGUGCUGCUCAUAGACAACUUCAAUCAGACUUGAUUGAACAUAUCUGGCAGAAGUUUGGGAAUUAAAAUUUAUUAGAUCAGGUCGUGCCAAUUUGGUGUUGCUGUCAACCUGGAGAACUGCUCGUGUCUACUGAAAUUCUACCUUCUGAUGUCAUCAGACUACCUAAAUUAUCCUAGCAUGUAGUGUCAUAUUAUCUGUUAUUUUGGUGUCAUGCAUGUGGCCAACUUGUGGCUUCAUGUGUUUAGUCUGGUGCUGCAAGUGCUGCUAUAUGAGUUGCUCACGAGAGAUUACAAGUUUGAGUCCUGCCAUUUUGGCUACCAGUUUGAGUUGUGACAUUGUGGCUGUCAGGUUAUUUUAUUAUCAAAAUGGAUGCCUAUUUAUCUUUAAGUUUA